RNAcentral lists this ribosomal RNA (391 nucleotides) under uncultured bacterium. RNAcentral's name for it is "partial 16S ribosomal RNA". It matches the Rfam family "Bacterial small subunit ribosomal RNA", at positions 355 to 741 of the family's 1533-position model. The record is from RNAcentral.
UGGGGAAUAUUGGACAAUGGGGCGCAAGCCUGAUCCAGCAAUGCCGCGUGUGUGAAGAAGGCCUUCGGGUUGUAAAGCACUUUUNUCAGGAGCGAAACCUGUCGGCUAAUACCCGGCGGAAACUGACGGUACCUGAGGAAUAAGCACCGGCUAACUUCGUGCCAGCAGCCGCGGUAAUACGAAGGGUGCAAGCGUUAAUCGGAAUUACUGGGCGUAAAGCGUGCGUAGGCGGUUUCUUAGUCUGCUGUGAAAUCCCCGGGCUCAACCUGGGAAUGCAGUGAUACUGGGAGGCUAGANUGUGUCAGAGGUGGUGGAAUUCCCGGUGUAGCGGUGAAAUGCGUAGAGAUCGGGNGGAACAUCAGUGGCGAAGGCGGCCACCUGGGACAACACU